GAUGAAGAACGUAGCGAAAUGCGAUACUUGGUGUGAAUUGCAGAAUCCCGUGAACCAUCGAGUCUUUGAACGCAAGUUGCGCCCGAAGCCACUAGGCCGAGGGCACGCCUGCCUGGGCGUCACACGUCGUUGCCCCCCCCCCAUCUACUCCUUCGGGAUUGCGGGGGGCGGAUGAUGGCCCCCCGUGCGCCUAGCCGCGCGGUUGGCAUAAAUACCAAGUCCUCGGCGACGCACGCCACGACAAUCGGUGGUUGCGAAACCUCGGUUGCCCGUCGUGUGCGUUCGUCGCGCAUCGAGGGCUCGAAAAAAUGCUCGGCUCCGGCUCGGCUUUCAACGCGACCCCAGGUCAGGCGGGGUUACCCGCUGAAUUUAAGCAUAUCAAUAAGCGGAGGA
RNAcentral lists this unclassified non-coding RNA (393 nucleotides) under soil metagenome. Its description in RNAcentral is "partial contains 5.8S ribosomal RNA, internal transcribed spacer 2, and large subunit ribosomal RNA". The stretch from base 1 to 122 matches the Rfam family "5.8S ribosomal RNA", at positions 35 to 154 of the family's 154-position model. The record is from RNAcentral.